RNAcentral lists this ribosomal RNA (492 nucleotides) under uncultured bacterium. RNAcentral describes it as "partial 16S ribosomal RNA". It matches the Rfam family "Bacterial small subunit ribosomal RNA", at positions 29 to 507 of the family's 1533-position model. The record is from RNAcentral.
AGUGAACGCUGGCGGUAGGCCUAACACAUGCAAGUCGAACGGCAGCACAGUAAGAGCUUGCUCUUACGGGUGGCGAGUGGCGGACGGGUGAGGAAUACAUCGGAAUCUACUUUUUCGUGGGGGAUAACGUAGGGAAACUUACGCUAAUACCGCAUACGACCUACGGGUGAAAGCAUGGGAUCUUCGGACCUUGCGCGAUUGAAUGAGCCGAUGUGGGAUUAGCUAGUUGGCGGGGUAAAGGCCCACCAAGGCGACGAUCCGUAGCUGGUCUGAGAGGAUGAUCAGCCACACUGGAACUGAGACACGGUCCAGACUCCUACGGGAGGCAGCAGUGGGGAAUAUUGGACAAUGGGCGCAAGCCUGAUCCAGCCAUACCGCGUGGGUGAAGAAGGCGUUCGGGUUGUAAAGCCCUUUUGUUGGGAAAGAAAAGCAGCAGGUUAAUACCCCGCUGUUCUGACGGUACCCAAAGAAUAAGCACCGGCUAACUUCGUG